Molecule: ribosomal RNA, 486 nt
Filed under: uncultured bacterium
Lineage: Bacteria
Description: partial 16S ribosomal RNA
Rfam family: Bacterial small subunit ribosomal RNA
Source: RNAcentral
GAUGAACGCUGGCGGCGUGCCUGAUACAUGCAAGUCGAACGCUGGAGAUCUAGCUUGCUAGAUCGAAGGAGUGGCGAACGGGUGAGUAAUACAUAAGCAACCUACCCACGAAGACUGGGAUAAUCUCUGGAAACGGGGACUAAUACCGGAUAGGUAAUCGGAAGGCAUCUUCUGGUUAUUAAAGGUUAAAAACACUGGUGGAUGGGCUUAUGGCGCAUUAGUUAGUUGGUGAGGUAACGGCCCACCAAGACGAUGAUGCGUAGCCGGCCUGAGAGGGUGAACGGCCACAUUGGGACUGAGACACGGCCCAGACUCCUACGGGAGGCAGCAGUAGGGAAUUUUCGGCAAUGGGGGCAACCCUGACCGAGCAACGCCGCGUGAGUGAAGACGGCCUUCGGGUUGUAAAGCUCUGUUGUAAGGGAAGAACGGUAGAUAGAGAAUAUCUAAGUGACGGUACCUUACCAGAAAGCCACGGCUAACUACGUG